GACAAUGUUGAAUAGAAUUUAACUCAGGUGUACUUGAACUUGGAAAGCAUCAAUUCAAUCUUAUUCAGAAGCCUAGUUGCUUCUUUUUCUCCAGAUGCAAAUGGAUUGGUCCAUUCCUGAUAGUGGUGAAGGCUGCCUGUGAAGUCUGUGAAGAGGCCAUCAACUCCCAUCUUGUUUAUCCAGUAGUCAUACUCGUUGUAUGGAUCUUCACUGAAGUUGAAGUGUACGAAUUGGUUCUCAUUCCGGAAAGUGUAUGGAUGCACCUGUAGAUUACGGGCAUGUGCUCUUGCGAUGAGAUCAGAAGGUGUUUGCAGAUAAUUGUUGGAACAAGGAACUAUGGUGUCCUUCCAGGGACCAAUCCCCACCACAUAAUCCUUGAUAUAAUCAAGAUAACCAUCUGCAGUAAUCUCCCAAUAUGACUGAUUGGUGUCUUGAGUUGGUGUAUUUGUGUCAUCAAUGAGGAAGAUCUUAGGCAGGUCCGUUUGGUUUGAUAUAUAAAUUAGUGACGUCGGCGCAAAAGAUUGAAUGAAUGCAGGCUGCUUUAACCAUUGCUUCGACAUAUAUGAACCUUUGUAUCCAUACUUCUUCAGUGUCUCAACAAACUUGUCCUCAAAUUUCUUACCACCUGGCCAUUUGACGUGUUGGUUGAUAAGGACUGGAUUUUUUAUCUCUGGAUAUAUUCCAACAACUCUAUGGGCAUCCAAUGCAAUUGAGAUGAACUCCUCAAAAGUAAUGAUAGAAAAUUCUCCAUUAUAUUGCUGAUCUCUGAAAGGAUAUCUCUGCUUAACACGCAGAAGCUUCAAUUCUUCAAGGGUGAAGUCAACCAGAAAAUAUCCAGUAGUGUUAACCCCUUGAACAUCA
RNAcentral lists this unclassified non-coding RNA (861 nucleotides) under Hevea brasiliensis (rubber tree). The record is from RNAcentral. Lineage: Eukaryota; Viridiplantae; Streptophyta; Magnoliopsida; Malpighiales; Euphorbiaceae.